CCUACGGGAGGCAGCAGUGAGGAAUAUUGGUCAAUGGACGAGAGUCUGAACCAGCCAAGUAGCGUGAAGGAUGACUGCCCUAUGGGUUGUAAACUUCUUUUAUAAAGGAAUAAAACGAGGCACGUGUGCCUUUUUGUAUGUACUUUAUGAAUAAGGAUCGGCUAACUCUGUGCCAGCAGCCGCGGUAAUACGGAGGAUCCGAGCGUUAUCCGGAUUUAUUGGGUUUAAAGGGAGCGUAGAUGGGUUGUUAAGUCAGUUGUGAAAGUUUGCGGCUCAACCGUAAAAUUGCAAUUGAUACUGGCAGUCUUGAGUACAGUUGAGGUAGGCGGAAUUCGUGGUGUAGCGGUGAAAUGCUUAGAUAUCACGAAGAACCCCGAUUGCGAAGGCAGCUUACUAAACUGUAACUGACAUUGAUGCUCGAAAGUGUGGGUAUCAAACAGGAUUAGAUACCCUAGUAGUC
This 460-nucleotide ribosomal RNA is filed under the name uncultured bacterium. RNAcentral describes it as "partial 16S ribosomal RNA". It matches the Rfam family "Bacterial small subunit ribosomal RNA", at positions 338 to 795 of the family's 1533-position model. The record is from RNAcentral.